GUUACUUUGUAGCCGAUCCAUCAUCAAAGAUGGCCGCCAGCAGGGGACUUAGUUUAACAUAGGACCCUAUGGGAAAUGCAUACAAAUGACUUCUUCUAGAGAACCACUGAAUGGAAUAAAACCAAACAUAGCAUGAAUGUUCCUUAUGGGGUGCUGACCAAGUGUUGUUACUUUGUAGCCGAUCCAUCAUCCAAGAUGGCCGCUAGCGGGGGACUUAGUUUAACAUAGGACCCUAUGGGAAAUGCAUACAAAUGACUUCUUUUAGAGAACCACUGAAUGGAAUGAAACCAAACAUGGCAUGAAUGUUCCUUAUGAGGUGCUGACCAAGUGUUGUUACUUUGUUGCUGAUACAUCAUCCAAGAUAGCUGCCAGCCGGGGACUUAUUUUAACAUAGGACCCUAUGAGAAAUGCAUACAAAUGACUUCUUUUAGAGAACCACUGAAUGGAAUAAAACCAAACAUAGCAUGAAUGUUCCUUAUGGGAUGCUGACCAAGUGUUGUUACUUUGUAGCCGAUCCAUCUUCCAAGAUGGCCGCCAGCGGGGGACUUAGUUUAACAUAGGACCCUAUGGGAAAUGCAUACAAAUGACUUCUUCUAGAGAACCACUAAAUGGAAUGAAACCAAACAUAGCAUGAAUGUUCCUUAUGGAGUGCUGACCAAGUGUUGUUACUUUGUAGCUGAUCCAUUAUCCAAGAAGGCCGCCAGCGGGGGACUUAGUUUAACAUAGGACCCUAUUGGAAAUGCAUACAAAUCACUUCUUCUAGUGAACCACUGAAUGGAAUGAAACCAAACAUGGCAUGAAUGUUCCUUAUGUGGUGCUGACCAAGUGUUGUUACUUUGUAGCUGAUCCAUCAUCCAAGAUGGCCGCCAGCCGGGGACUUAGUUUAACAUAGGACCCUAUGGGAAAUGCAUACAAAUGACUUCUUUUAGAGAACCACUGAAUGGAAUGAAAUCAAACAUGGCAUGAAUGUUCCUAAUGUGGUGCUGACCAAGUGUUGUUACUUUGUAGCCGAUCCAUUAUCCAAGAUUGCCGCCAGCGGGGGACUUAGUUUAACAUAGGACCCUAUGGCAAAUGCAUACAAAUGACUUCUUUUAGAGAACCACUGAAUGGAAUAAAACCAAACAUUGCAUGAAUGUUCCUUAUGAGGUGCUGACGAAGUGUUGUUACUUUGUAGCCGAUCCAUCAUCCAAGAUGGCCGCCAGCAGGGGACUUAGUUUAACAUAGGACCCUAUGGGAAAUGCAUACAAAUGACUUCUUUUAGAGAACCACUGAAUGGAAUAAAACCAAACAUGGCAUGAAUGUUCCUUAUGAGGUGCUGACCAAGUGUUGUUACUUUGUAGCCGAUCCGUCAUCCAAGAUGGCCGCCAGUGGGGGACUUUUGAAUGAAAUUAAACAUGUUCCUUUCCUUAUAAAUGAGGUUGUGUUGUCACUUUUAGCCAAAUUUUAUAUUUUUUUAUAUGAUUUCAAAAACCCAAGUAGAAUCAGGUGAGCGAUACAGGCUCUUGAGAGCCUCUAGUUAAUAAUUAUUUUAGAUUU
This 1536-nucleotide long non-coding RNA is filed under the name Mytilus galloprovincialis (Mediterranean mussel). Lineage: Eukaryota; Metazoa; Mollusca; Bivalvia; Mytilida; Mytilidae. The record is from RNAcentral.